AACGCACGAGACCUGCGGACCUGCGGAAGGAUCAUUACCGAAUGGCCUCUGGGCCUUCACAAACCCCAUCAAACCUGUGGACCUCUCAGAGAGAGCGUGCUUCGGCGUCCCCUCGGCUCUGCCCGAGGGACGCCGCCUUCAUGCAGAUAGAUCGUCUUGUCUGAUUUUGAAACCAUGAGAAUUUAAAACUUUCAGCAACGGAUCUCU
Molecule: unclassified non-coding RNA, 207 nt
Filed under: soil metagenome
Description: partial contains 5.8S ribosomal RNA, internal transcribed spacer 2, and large subunit ribosomal RNA
Source: RNAcentral